GUGAGGAAUAUUGCACAAUGGAGGAAACUCUGAUGCAGCAACGCCGCGUGGAGGAUGACGCAUUUCGGUGUGUAAACUCCUUUUAAGAGGGAAGAUUAUGACGGUACCUCUUGAAUAAGCACCGGCUAACUCCGUGCCAGCAGCCGCGGUAAUACGGAGGGUGCAAGCGUUACUCGGAAUCACUGGGCGUAAAGGGUGCGUAGGCUGACUUUUAAGUCAGGUGUGAAAUCCAAUGGCUCAACCAUUGAACUGCACUUGAAACUGGGAGUCUAGAGUUCAGAAGGGGCAGAUGGAAUUAGUGGUGUAGGGGUAAAAUCCGUAGAUAUCACUAGGAAUAUCAAAAGCGAAGGCGAUCUGCUGGGAUGAUACUGACGCUGAGGCACGAAAGCGUGGGGAGCAAACAGGAUUAGAAACCCCGGUAGUCC
Molecule: ribosomal RNA, 425 nt
Filed under: uncultured bacterium
Lineage: Bacteria
Description: bacterial SSU rRNA
Rfam family: Bacterial small subunit ribosomal RNA
Source: RNAcentral